RNAcentral lists this unclassified non-coding RNA (321 nucleotides) under uncultured fungus. Its description in RNAcentral is "partial contains 5.8S ribosomal RNA and internal transcribed spacer 2". The stretch from base 1 to 133 matches the Rfam family "5.8S ribosomal RNA", at positions 22 to 154 of the family's 154-position model. Lineage: Eukaryota; Fungi. The record is from RNAcentral.
UGGUUCUGGCAUCGAUGAAGAACGCAGCGAAAUGCGAUAAGUAAUGUGAAUUGCAGAAUUCAGUGAAUCAUCGAAUCUUUGAACGCAUAUUGCGCCCGCCGGUAUUCCGGCGGGCAUGCCUGUUCGAGCGUCAUUUCAACCCUCAGGCCUCGCCUGGUGUUGGGGCUCCUGCGCACUGCAGGCCCUCAAAGGCAGCGGCGGGUGCGCCUACGAACCGAACGCAGUAGUUUUCUCUCGUUCUGGUCCUGCGGGCGUGCUCCGGCCGUUAAACCCCCUUAUGCUUCCAUGGUUGACCUCGGAUCAGGUAGGAAUACCCGCUGA